CUACGUGCCAGCAGCCGCGGUAAUACGGAGGGUGCGAGCGUUAAUCGGAAUAACUGGGCGUAAAGGGCACGCAGGCGGUGACUUAAGUGAGGUGUGAAAGCCCCGGGCUUAACCUGGGAAUUGCAUUUCAUACUGGGUCGCUAGAGUACUUUAGGGAGGGGUAGAAUUCCGCGUGUAGCGGUGAAAUGCGUAGAGAUGUGGAGGAAUACCGAAGGCGAAGGCAGCCCCUUGGGAAUGUACUGACGCUCAUGUGCGAAAGCGUGGGGAGCAAACAGGAUUAGAUACCCUGGUAGUCCACGCUGUAAACGAUGUCGAUUUGGAGGUUGAGCUUUAAGUUUGGCGCCCGUAGCUAACGUGAUAAAUCGACCGCCUGGGGAGUACGGCCGCAAGGUUAAAACUCAAAUGAAUUGACGGGGGCCCGCACAAGCGGUGGAGCAUGUGGUUUAAUUCGAUGCAACGCGAAGAACCUUACCUACUCUUGACAUCCAGAGAACAUUC
Molecule: ribosomal RNA, 498 nt
Filed under: uncultured bacterium
Lineage: Bacteria
Description: bacterial SSU rRNA
Rfam family: Bacterial small subunit ribosomal RNA
Source: RNAcentral